RNAcentral lists this ribosomal RNA (586 nucleotides) under uncultured fungus. Its description in RNAcentral is "eukaryotic LSU rRNA". The stretch from base 215 to 368 matches the Rfam family "5.8S ribosomal RNA". The record is from RNAcentral. Lineage: Eukaryota; Fungi.
CUUGGUCAUUUAGAGGAAGUAAAAGUCGUAACAAGGUCUCCGUAGGUGAACCUGCGGAGGGAUCAUUACAGAGUUAAACAACUCCUAAACCCACUGUAAAUUUACCUUUACUUGCUCCUUCGGCAGGCGGUCCCUGGGAGGGGCUGUACAUGCCUGCCGACGGGAAACAAAACUCUUGCUAUGUUCAGCAGUCUGAGUAUUUAAAAAAAAUCAAAACUUUCAACAACGGAUCUCUUGGUUCUGGCAUCGAUGAAGAACGCAGCGAAAUGCGAUAAGUAAUGUGAAUUGCAGAAUUCUACGAAUCAUCGAAUCUUUGAACGCACAUUGCGCCCAUUAGUAUUCUAGUGGGCAUGCCUGUUCGAGCGUCAUUUCAACCCUCAAGCCCAGCUUGGUGUUGGGGCUUCUAUAGCAGCUGCUAUAGGCCCUGAAGAUCAGUGGCGGGCUCGCUGUGAACCCGAGCGUAGUACUAUUCUCGUUUAGGGCUUUAUAGCGGGUUUCUAGCCGUUAAACCUCCCAAAUUUUUAAUGGUUGACCUCGGAUCAGGUAGGAAUACCCGCUGAACUUAAGCAUAUCAAUAAGCGGAGGA